UACGGAGGGUGCAAGCGUUAUCCGGAUUUACUGGGUUUAAAGGGUGUGUAGGCGGGUCAUUAAGUCAGUGGUGAAAUCCCGGGGCUCAACCUCGGAACUGCCAUUGAUACUAUUGAUCUUGAAUCUUGUUGAGGUGGGCGGAAUACAUCAUGUAGCGGUGAAAUGCUUAGAUAUGAUGUAGAACACCGAUUGCGAAGGCAGCUCACUAAGCAAGUAUUGACGCUGAGGCACGAAAGCGUGGGGAUCAAACAGG
RNAcentral lists this ribosomal RNA (253 nucleotides) under uncultured bacterium. Its description in RNAcentral is "partial 16S ribosomal RNA". It matches the Rfam family "Bacterial small subunit ribosomal RNA", at positions 524 to 776 of the family's 1533-position model. The record is from RNAcentral.